CGAUGAUGCAUAGCCCGAGUUGAGAGACUGAUCGGGCCACAUUGGGACUGAGACAUGGGCCCAAAACUCCUACGGGGAGGCAGCAGUAGGGAAUCUUCCACAAUGGACGCAAGUCUGAUGGAGCAACGCCGCGUGAGUGAAGAAGGGUUUCGGCUCGUAAAAGCUCUGUUGUUGGUGAAGAAGGACAGGGGUAGUAACUGACCUUUGUUUGACGGUAAUCAAUUAGAAGUCACGGCUAACUACGUGCCAGCAGCCGCGGUAAU
RNAcentral lists this ribosomal RNA (263 nucleotides) under uncultured Lactobacillus sp. RNAcentral's name for it is "partial 16S ribosomal RNA". It matches the Rfam family "Bacterial small subunit ribosomal RNA", at positions 274 to 524 of the family's 1533-position model. The record is from RNAcentral. Lineage: Bacteria; Bacillati; Bacillota; Bacilli; Lactobacillales; Lactobacillaceae.